The sequence is a non-coding RNA, 328 nucleotides long. It matches the Rfam family "Bacterial RNase P class A". Rfam says of the family: Ribonuclease P (RNase P) is a ubiquitous endoribonuclease, found in archaea, bacteria and eukarya as well as chloroplasts and mitochondria. Its best characterised activity is the generation of mature 5'-ends of tRNAs by cleaving the 5'-leader elements of precursor-tRNAs. Cellular RNase Ps are ribonucleoproteins. The record is from Rfam.
CGAGUAGGCUGUGUGGCAGCGCCGAAAGGUGAGGAAAGUCCGAGCAUCACAGAGCAGGAUACCUGCUAACGGCAGGCGGAGGCGACUCUAGGGAAAGUGCAACAGAAAUAUACCGCCGGGGCAUGCCCCGGUAAGGAUGGAAAGGCGAGGUAAGAGCUCACCGGAAUGCGGGGAACCGCAUUGCCCUGCAAACCCUAUCCGAUGCAACAUCGACUGGGAGGUUAUCGUCGGCUCGACGCUCCCGAAGGAUGGCUGGAGCGCUGUAGCAAUACAGCGUCGAGAUAGAUUGUCACGUAAACAGAACUCGGCUUAUAGGCUUAGUCGCUAC